GGGGGUAUAGCUCAGUUGGUAGAGCGUACGGUUCGCAUCCGUAAGGCCAGGGGUUCGAAUCCCCUUACCUCCA
This 73-nucleotide transfer RNA is filed under the name bacterium. RNAcentral's name for it is "tRNA-Ala". It matches the Rfam family "tRNA". Rfam says of the family: Transfer RNA (tRNA) molecules are approximately 80 nucleotides in length. Their secondary structure includes four short double-helical elements and three loops (D, anti-codon, and T loops). The record is from RNAcentral.